This 931-nucleotide long non-coding RNA is filed under the name Homo sapiens (human). Its description in RNAcentral is "novel transcript". Lineage: Eukaryota; Metazoa; Chordata; Mammalia; Primates; Hominidae. The record is from RNAcentral.
GGCUCUCAGUCCCUGCCUCGCGGGGGGUGCCUCCCCCACUUGCGAUGGGGCUGCCUUCGGACCCGUCGGAUCGUAAAUCCCACGUAAGGUACCUGCCGUCGGAAGAUUUGAACUUUCUACUUGGACACCUAAUACCCACAGUCCUCCAGGUACCUGCCGUCGGAAGAUUUGAACUUUCUACUUGGACAACUAACACUCGCAGUCCUCCAGCUGGAGCUGCGUUCGGACCCGUCGGAUCGUAAAUCCCAUGUAAGGUAUCUGCCGUCGGAAGAUUUGAACUUUCUAAUUGGACACCUAACACCCACAGUCCUCCAGCUGCGUUCGGACCCGUCGGAUCGUAAAUCCCACGUAAGGUCGGAAGAUUUGAACUUUCUACUUGGACACCUAACACCCACAGUCCUCCAGGUACCUGCCGUCGGAAGAUUUGAACGUUCUACUUGGACACCUAAAACCCACAGUCCUCCAGGUACCUGCUGUCGGAAGAUUUGAACUUUCUACUUGGACAACUAACACCCACAGUCCUCCAGGUACCUGCCGUCGGAAGAUUUGAGCUUUCUUCUUGAACACCUCAUACCCACAGUCCUCCAGACAGAAAGACAACAGGUACAAAGCCCUAAGGAUUAUAAAGGUAUGCUGCUUACCAUCAUCUUAGUGACCAAGGCAGCGAAGCUGUUUCUGUACCUUGGAACAGUCUUCCCUGACAAGCCAGAGAACAGUGAUAAAGCCACCAGCCUUGGGAUCAGGACUGAAAAGGCAAGAGUGAUGGAGAUUUCUCCUGCGCUAAGCCAAGAGAAGGUUUCAGCACUUCAGACAGCUCCCACCGAAGUAGCCGCGCUCCCAGCUGCUUGCAGAUGUUGAAAAGGAAAGCCUCGGUUUGUCUUGAGGUUGUCAGCAGGUGCAAGACACGUAAUAAAAUGCAAUGUGUUCCUAA